This 787-nucleotide ribosomal RNA is filed under the name uncultured organism. RNAcentral describes it as "bacterial SSU rRNA". It matches the Rfam family "Bacterial small subunit ribosomal RNA", at positions 13 to 795 of the family's 1533-position model. The record is from RNAcentral.
UUGAUCCUGGCUCACGAUGAACGCUAGCGGGAGGCUUAAUACAUGCAAGUCGAACGGUAACAUGAGAGCUUGCUCUUGAUGACGAGUGGCGCACGGGUGAGUAACGCGUACGCGACCUGCCCUUAAUUGGGGAAUAGCCCUGGGAAACUGGGAUUAAUGCCCCAUAGUAUAUGUAUCGUAGGGAUAUAUAUUAAAGGAUACGAUCUGAUUAAGGAUGGGCGUGCGUGCUAUUAGCUAGUUGGUAAGGUAACGGCUUACCAAGGCGAUGAUAGCUAGGGGGCGUGAGAGCGUGAUCCCCCACACGGGUACUGAGACACGGACCCGACUCCUACAGGAGGCAGCAGUAAGGAAUAUUGGACAAUGUCCGCAAGGGUGAUCCAGCCAUCCCGCGUGCAGGAAGACGGCCCUAUGGGUUGUAAACUGCUUUUAUUAGGGAAGAACGACCUUCAUUAAUGAGGGUGUGACGGUACCUAAAGAAUAAGCACCGGCUAACUCCGUGCCAGCAGCCGCGGUAAUACGGAGGGUGCGAGCGUUAUCCGGAAUCACUGGGUUUAAAGGGUGCGUAGGCGGAAUAGUAAGUCAGGCGUGAAAGGUUACAGCUUAACUGUAGAACUGCGUUUGAUACUGUUAUUCUUGAAUAGAGAUGAGGUCAGCGGAAUGCGACAUGUAGCGGUGAAAUGCAUAGAUAUGUCGUAGAACACCGAUUGCGAAGGCAGCUGACUGGACUUUGAUUGACGCUGAGGCACGAAAGCGUGGGGAGCGAACAGGAUUAGAUACCCUGGUAGUC